This is a small nucleolar RNA of Mastomys coucha (southern multimammate mouse), 132 nucleotides long. RefSeq annotates it as small nucleolar RNA SNORA17. The transcript has a single exon. The record is from RefSeq and is a predicted model, not a curated record. Lineage: Eukaryota; Metazoa; Chordata; Mammalia; Rodentia; Muridae.
ACUGUCUCGAGAGGCUUUUCAGGGGUGGCUGCUCUGUCACAUGUACAUUUGUAGGUGGCAGAAAGGAGAGAGCCUUUAUCUAUGCUCAAUAUUCUGAUCUGUAAACAUCUGAAUGUUUAGUAAUCUAAUACU